Molecule: ribosomal RNA, 482 nt
Filed under: uncultured bacterium
Lineage: Bacteria
Description: bacterial SSU rRNA
Rfam family: Bacterial small subunit ribosomal RNA
Source: RNAcentral
AUUGAACGCUGGCGGCAUGCUUUACACAUGCAAGUCGAACGGUAACAGGUCUUCGGAUGCUGACGAGUGGCGAACGGGUGAGUAAUACAUCGGAACGUGCCCGAUCGUGGGGGAUAACGCAGCGAAAGCUGUGCUAAUACCGCAUACGAUCUACGGAUGAAAGCGGGGGAUCGCAAGACCUCGCGCGGACGGAGCGGCCGAUGGCAGAUUAGGUAGUUGGUGGGGUAAAGGCUCACCAAGCCUUCGAUCUGUAGCUGGUCUGAGAGGACGACCAGCCACACUGGGACUGAGACGCGGCCCAGACUCCUACGGGAGGCAGCAGUGGGGAAUUUUGGACAAUGGGCGCAAGCCUGAUCCAGCCAUGCCGCGUGCAGGAUGAAGGCCUUCGGGUUGUAAACUGCUUUUGUACGGAACGAAAAGGUCUGCCUUAAUACGGCGGGCCCAUGACGGUACCGUAAGAAUAAGCACCGGCUAACUACGUG